ACAGGAAGCAGCUUGCUGCUUCGCUGACGAGUGGCGGACGGGUGAGUAAUGUCUGGGAAACUGCCUGAUGGAGGGGGAUAACUACUGGAAACGGUGGCUAAUACCGCAUAACGUCGCAAGACCAAAGAGGGGGACCUUCGGGCCUCUUGCCAUCAGAUGUGCCCAGAUGGGAUUAGCUUGUUGGUGAGGUAACGGCUCACCAAGGCGACGAUCCCUAGCUGGUCUGAGAGGAUGACCAGCCACACUGGAACUGAGACACGGUCCAGACUCCUACGGGAGGCAGCAGUGGGGAAUAUUGCACAAUGGGCGCAAGCCUGAUGCAGCCAUGCCGCGUGUAUGAAGAAGGCCUUCGGGUUGUAAAGUACUUUCAGCGGGGAGGAAGGUGUUGUGGUUAAUAACCGCAGCAAUUGACGUUACCCGCAGAAGAAGCACCGGCUAACUCCGUGCCAGCAGCCGCGGUAAUACGGAGGGUGCAAGCGUUAAUCGGAAUUACUGGGCGUAAAGCGCACGCAGGCGGUCUGUCAAGUCGGAUGUGAAAUCCCCGGGCUCAACCUGGGAACUGCAUUCGAAACUGGCAGGCUUGAGUCUUGUAGAGGGGGGUAGAAUUCCAGGUGUAGCGGUGAAAUGCGUAGAGAUCUGGAGGAAUACCGGUGGCGAAGGCGGCCCCCUGGACAAAGACUGACGCUCAGGUGCGAAAGCGUGGGGAGCAAACAGGAUUAGAUACCCUGGUAGUCCACGCCGUAAACGAUGUCUACUUGGAGGUUGUGCCCUUGAGGCGUGGCUUCCGGAGCUAACGCGUUAAGUAGACCGCCUGGGGAGUACGGCCGCAAGGUUAAAACUCAAAUGAAUUGACGGGGGCCCGCACAAGCGGUGGAGCAUGUGGUUUAAUUCGAUGCAACGCGAAGAACCUUACCUGGUCUUGACAUCCACAGAACUUUCCAGAGAUGGAUUGGUGCCUUCGGGAACUGUGAGACAGGUGCUGCAUGGCUGUCGUCAGCUCGUGUUGUGAAAUGUUGGGUUAAGUCCCGCAACGAGCGCAAC
Molecule: ribosomal RNA, 1041 nt
Filed under: Salmonella enterica subsp. enterica serovar Stanley
Lineage: Bacteria; Pseudomonadati; Pseudomonadota; Gammaproteobacteria; Enterobacterales; Enterobacteriaceae
Description: bacterial SSU rRNA
Rfam family: Bacterial small subunit ribosomal RNA
Source: RNAcentral